AGUGAACGCUGGCGGUAGGCCUAACACAUGCAAGUCGAACGGCAGCACAGUAAGAGCUUGCUCUUACGGGUGGCGAGUGGCGGACGGGUGAGGAAUACAUCGGAAUCUACUUUUUCGUGGGGGAUAACGUAGGGAAACUUACGCUAAUACCGCAUACGACCUACGGGUGAAAGCAGGGGAUCUUCGGACCUUGCGCGAUUGAAUGAGCCGAUGUCGGAUUAGCUAGUUGGCGGGGUAAAGGCCCACCAAGGCGACGAUCCGUAGCUGGUCUGAGAGGAUGAUCGGCCCAAUGGGAAAUGAGAACCGGCCCGGGCCCCACGGGGGGGCAGCGGGGGGGAAUUUUGGAAAAUGGGGGAAACCCUGACCCAGCCACCCGGGGGGGGUGAAGAAGGCCUUCGGUUUGAAAAGCCCUUUUGUUGGGAAAAAAAAACAGCAGGUUAAACCCCCGCGGUUUGGCCGGUACCAAAAAAAUAAGCACCGGCAACUUUGGG
RNAcentral lists this ribosomal RNA (491 nucleotides) under uncultured bacterium. RNAcentral's name for it is "partial 16S ribosomal RNA". It matches the Rfam family "Bacterial small subunit ribosomal RNA", at positions 29 to 507 of the family's 1533-position model. The record is from RNAcentral.